AUGGCGGCGAUCAAAUUCACACCGCAAGCGGUGGAGUAUCGGGCAACGAGGGAACUCCUUCAUCACGGUAGAUGCGUUGGAGGUCUCUACCCCAUCACAUUCGGAGCAUUUAGUCGCAACCAUCGUCAAGUUUUCUCCGCCAUCAAGCCCUCCUUGGCAAGGUGGCAUCAAAGAUUAGGACAUCCAUCUUCGAUCAUUGUUAAACAAGUAGUCAAUAAAGGCAACCUCUUGUUGUCACAUAGUUCAAAUAGUGAGUCUGUUUGUGAAGCUUGCCAAUGUGCCAAGAGUCACCAACUUCCUUAUCCCAAGUCGAAUAGUACAUCUCAUGCUACUUUAGAACUUAUCUUUAGUGAUGUAUGGGGACAUGCGAGAGAUUCCUUGGCAGAAAGAAAUACUAUGUCAGUUUCAUUGAUGAUUAUAGCAAAUUUACAUGGA
This 435-nucleotide ribosomal RNA is filed under the name Triticum aestivum (bread wheat). Its description in RNAcentral is "partial small subunit ribosomal RNA". The record is from RNAcentral. Lineage: Eukaryota; Viridiplantae; Streptophyta; Magnoliopsida; Poales; Poaceae.